AAGGUUUCUCCAAGCACACAGAAUCUCAAACGAAAGUGAUCCACCCAGAAUCGUUAGCUUCUAUGACUCUAUGAACCAUAAAAAAUGUAAAAUCAAAAUUUGGGGUUUUUUUAGCUGAAUGUGGAGAGAAGUCGAGAGAAAUGUUGUGUUUAGUUCAUAAAAAUGGAAAAAGAAGAAGGGUAAAUCGAUUUUGGAAGCAUUAAUUGUUCAUGGUGGUUGGGGUAUUAUUGACAAUGGUAAUCUUGUAAUUACUUAAAGAAGAUGAGGUGAGAGAGUAAAAAUGUCAUCUUCGAAAAAAAAAAAAAAUUUGAUGGCAUUUUCAUGAAUUAUAUCAACUUGUGGGGGGAAUAGAAAAAAACUAAUUUUCAAAAAAAAAAAGAUUAAUUUUGUGUUUGAUAUUGAAUUUUAGGUCAAUUUUGCAAAAAACCCUAGUAAAAAUUAUGUAAUUGCUUUUUGCCUACCCUGUCUAGUACUCUUUCGUCCCAAAAGCAAUAGACAGAGAUAAUUACAAGCUC
This 515-nucleotide long non-coding RNA is filed under the name Brassica rapa (field mustard). RNAcentral describes it as "long non-coding RNA (BRAP_LNC006734)". Lineage: Eukaryota; Viridiplantae; Streptophyta; Magnoliopsida; Brassicales; Brassicaceae. The record is from RNAcentral.